UCUGCCCUUCAGUCCGGGACAACUUUCCGAAAGGGGAGCUAAUACCGGAUAACAAUGUUUGACAUAAGUUGGAUAUUUGAAAGCUCCGGCGCUGAUGGAUGAGUCUGCGUCCCAUUAGCUUGUUGGUGCGGUAGUGGCGCACCAAGGCCACGAUGGGUAGCGGGUUUGAGAGGACGAUCCGCCACACUGGAACUGAGACACGGUCCAGACUCCUACGGGAGGCAGCAGUGGGGAAUAUUGCACAAUGGAGGAAACUCUGAUGCAGCAAUGCCGCGUGAGUGAAGAAGGCCCUUGGGUCGUAAAGCUCUUUUAUGGGGGAAGAUGAUGACGGUACCCCAAGAAUAAGCACCGGCUAACUACGUGCCAGCAGCCGCGGUAAUACGUAGGGUGCGAGCGUUGUUCGGAAUUACUGGGCGUAAAGGGCGCGCAGGCGGAGGUGCAA
RNAcentral lists this ribosomal RNA (442 nucleotides) under uncultured delta proteobacterium. RNAcentral describes it as "bacterial SSU rRNA". It matches the Rfam family "Bacterial small subunit ribosomal RNA", at positions 125 to 586 of the family's 1533-position model. The record is from RNAcentral. Lineage: Bacteria; Deltaproteobacteria.